Molecule: non-coding RNA, 122 nt
Filed under: Anopheles sinensis
Lineage: Eukaryota; Metazoa; Arthropoda; Insecta; Diptera; Culicidae
Description: Eukaryotic large subunit ribosomal RNA
Rfam family: Eukaryotic large subunit ribosomal RNA
Source: Rfam by way of RNAcentral
AAGCCUCAAGUUAUGUGUGACAACCCCCUGAAUUUAAGCAUAUUAAUAAGGGGAGGAAAAGAAACCAACCGGGAUUCCCUGAGUAGCUGCGAGCGAAACGGGAGAAGCUCAGCACGUAGGGA